AGCAGCCGCGGUAAUUCCAGCUCCAAUAGCGUAUAUUAAAGUUGCUGCAGUUAAAAAGCUCGUAGUUGAAUUUCGGGACCAUCAUGUCGGUCGUGCCUCGGUACGUACUGGCAUUGUUGGUUUCUACCUUCUGACGAACCAUGAUGUCAUUUAUUUGGUGUCGUGGGAAAUCAGGACUGUUACUUUGAAAAAUUAGAGUGUUUAAAGCAGGCUCACGCUUGAAUACAUUAGCAUGGAAUAAUGAAAUAGGACGUUUGAUUCUAUUUUGUUGGUUUCUAGGAUCGACGUAAUGAUUAAUAGGGAUAGUUGGGGGCAUUAGUAUUCAAUUGUCAGAGGUGAAAUUCUUGGAUUUAUUGAAGACUAACUACUGCGAAAGCAUUUGCCAAGGAUGUUUUCAUUAAUCAAGAACGAAAGUUAGGGGAUCGAAGACGAUCAGAUACCGUCGUAGUCUUA
This 453-nucleotide ribosomal RNA is filed under the name uncultured Glomus. RNAcentral describes it as "SSU rRNA". It matches the Rfam family "Eukaryotic small subunit ribosomal RNA", at positions 569 to 1028 of the family's 1831-position model. Lineage: Eukaryota; Fungi; Glomeromycota; Glomeromycetes; Glomerales; Glomeraceae. The record is from RNAcentral.